This is a non-coding RNA of Ictidomys tridecemlineatus (thirteen-lined ground squirrel), 1257 nucleotides long. The record is from RefSeq and is a predicted model, not a curated record. Lineage: Eukaryota; Metazoa; Chordata; Mammalia; Rodentia; Sciuridae.
GCCACUUGUCCUCCCUCUCUGCUCCCACUGCACCCCUGUUCAUUAACAGCUCCUGAAUUUCUCUUACAAGGAAGACCCUCCAAACACCAUACUAGUAGGGGGUGCAGUCAUUGGAGUCCACAAUUCACUGUGUACACUGGAGCCAGUCACGGAACCUCCUGGGCCCCUACUUCCUCAUUUGUAAAAUGGGAUGACCAUAGUACCUGCCACCCUGGGCUGUAAGGGUGAAAUGAGUUCUGACCCUGGGAAUGGGAAGGGGGCCUGGUGCAUAGCAAAUGCCAGGAAUAAUAGUAUCAGCUACUAUUCCUGAGAUCUGGGCUCAGGAAAGGGAAUGGGAAAGAGGGAUGCAGAGAGGAGAAAAGGAGAUAGAAACAUUCCAAGAGGGAGAAAAGGAGUAUAGAGGGCAGAGGGAAUAUGGGUGCUGGCCUUGAUCUCUCAGGGCUGGCAGCAGGGCUCACCUUCUUGUUCUUCCUUCCCCCAUAUAAUCUCCCCAGAAUUCUGAGGAAUUCUGCUUCCACCCCCACUGGUUGCCAUGGUGAUGAAAAAUCUGGACCCAGUGGAAAGUUCUCUCUGCUCUUGGCAACGAGGCUGCAGCACCCUGCCUCCUGCCUGCCCGCCUGUGCGUGGGCGGCUCUCUGCAGCUGCUGCCAGGAUUCAGGGCCAGCUCUGCUCUCUGCAGAGGCCCAGCCCUGCCCCCCACAAGAUCUAGGGUGGGAGCCCUGGUGCCAGGAACCCUCAGCGAAUAUCUAACCUGUCACAUUUUAUAAGGGGGAACCUGGGCCGGAGAGGACCCCUGACUUGCCCAAGACUGCAGAGGCUCUUGACUGCCCUGGAGUCUCUCCUGGACUGAGCCUUGAGGCCCAGGCUCCCAGCAGGAGGCCAAGGGCCCCCUAUGUCAAACUCCACCAAGAACGCCCCACUCCUUUUGGAUUAUUUUUCUGUCAUCAGCUCCACAUACUAUGGUGUGAAUGUCUGUGUCCUUCUAAAAUUGAUAUGUUCAAAUCUAAUCACCAAGUGAUGGUAUUGGGAAGGCAUCACCCCACGUCAUGAGGGUAAGACCUUGUGAUGGGGUUAGUGCCCUUGUCAAAUGACCCCACAGAGACCUUGCCCCUUCUAACCUGUGAGGACACCCAUGGGAAGGUGCCGCCUGAGAACCAGAAAGCAAGCCCUCGCCAGACACCAUAUCUGCCAGCACCUUGAUCUUGGACUUCUCGGUCUCUAAACUAUGAGAAAUAAACUUCCCUGGGUUAUUAGCUG